Molecule: ribosomal RNA, 446 nt
Filed under: uncultured bacterium
Lineage: Bacteria
Also listed under: 1 other name
Description: bacterial SSU rRNA
Rfam family: Bacterial small subunit ribosomal RNA
Source: RNAcentral
GCGGUGUAAAAUGAGCGUGUGUCCUAUUAGCUAGUUGGAGAGGUAAUGGCUCACCAAGGCUACGAUGGGUAGGGGUUCUUAGUGGAAGGUCCCCCACACUGGCACUGAGAUACGGGCCAGACUCCUACGGGAGGCAGCAGUAGGGAAUAUUGGUCAAUGGGCGCAAGCCUGAACCAGCCAUGCCGCGUGCAGGAUGAAGGCUCUAUGAGUUGUAAACUGCUUUUGUACAGGAGCAAAAAAAUCCCUGCGGGGGUUCUUGAGAGUACUGUAAGAAUAAGCACCGGCUAAUUCCGUGCCAGCAGCCGCGGUAAUACGGAAGGUGCAAGCGUUAUCCGGUUUUAUUGGGUUUAAAGGGUGCGUAGGCGGCUUAUUAAGUCAGUUGUGAAAUCCUAGUGCUUAACGCUAGAACUGCGAUUGAUACUAUUAGGCUUGAGUUAAGAAGAGGU